Molecule: ribosomal RNA, 253 nt
Filed under: uncultured bacterium
Lineage: Bacteria
Description: partial 16S ribosomal RNA
Rfam family: Bacterial small subunit ribosomal RNA
Source: RNAcentral
UACGGAGGGGGUUAGCGUUGUUCGGAAUUACUGGGCGUAAAGCGCGCGUAGGCGGAUUAGAAAGUUGGGGGUGAAAUCCCGGGGCUCAACCCCGGAACUGCCUCCAAAACUACUAGUCUAGAGUUCGAGAGAGGUGAGUGGAAUUCCGAGUGUAGAGGUGAAAUUCGUAGAUAUUCGGAGGAACACCAGUGGCGAAGGCGGCUCACUGGCUCGAUACUGACGCUGAGGUGCGAAAGUGUGUGGAGCAAACAGG